This 501-nucleotide ribosomal RNA is filed under the name uncultured bacterium. RNAcentral's name for it is "partial 16S ribosomal RNA". It matches the Rfam family "Bacterial small subunit ribosomal RNA", at positions 30 to 523 of the family's 1533-position model. The record is from RNAcentral.
AUUGAACGCUGGCGGCAUGCCUUACACAUGCAAGUCGAACGGCAGCACGGGUGCUUGCACCUGGUGGCGAGUGGCGAACGGGUGAGUAAUACAUCGGAACAUACCUUAUCGUGGGGGAUAACGCAGCGAAAGCUGUGCUAAUACCGCAUACGCCCUGAGGGGGAAAGCGGGGGAUCGAAAGACCUCGCGCGAUUAGAGCGGCCGAUGCCUGAUUAGCUUGUUGGUGGGGUAAAAGCCUACCAAGGCGACGAUCAGUAGCUGGUCUGAGAGGACGAUCGGCCACACUGGGACUGGGACACGGCCCCGACUCCUACGGGAGGCAGCAGUGGGGAAUUUUGGACAAUGGGGGCAACCCUUAUCCAGCAAUGCCGCGUGAGUGAAGAAGGCCUUCGGGUUGUAAAGCUCUUUUGUCAGGGAAGAAACACCGGCUCUAACACAGUCCGGGAAUGACGGUACCUGAAGAAUAAGCACCGGCUAACUACGUGCCAGCCGCCGCCGUAA